Molecule: long non-coding RNA, 253 nt
Organism: Actinia tenebrosa (Australian red waratah sea anemone)
Lineage: Eukaryota; Metazoa; Cnidaria; Anthozoa; Actiniaria; Actiniidae
Source: RefSeq, a predicted model, not a curated record
CAUUGUCUAAUUUGCCAUAAUAUUAGUACUUUUUUAUGAUUUCUUCACAUUUUCUUCAUAUACAGUGGUCAUAAAGAAAUAGCGGUAAUGUUACUUCAGCAUGGAGCUAACACUUCUAUGAGGAAUAAGUCAGGUCAAACACCUUUAGAACUAACAAAAGACUUAAAGAUGAAGAAACUACUGGAUGUUCAGCCACUUCAGGUAGCAAAGAUUAACAAUUCCUUUCAAAAAUCACCGCUUUUGAAAAGAAAGG